GGACCAAGGAGUCUAGCAUGUACGCGAGUCAUUGGGACUUGACAAAACCUAAAGGCGUAAUGAAAGUAAAGGUCCGCCUAGCGCGGACCUAGGGAAGAUGGGCGACCGUUUCGGCUGUCGCCCCGCACUCCCGGGGCGUCUCGUUCUCAUUGCGAGAAGAGGCGCACCAAGAGCGUACACGCUGGGACCCGAAAGAUGGUGAACUAUGCCUGGUCAGGACGAAGUCAGGGGAAACCCUGAUGGAGGUCCGUAGCGAUUCUGACGUGCAAAUCGAUCGUCGGAACUGGGUAUAGGGGCGAAAGACUAAUCGAACCAUCUAGUAGCUGGUUCCCUCCGAAGUUUCCCUCAGGAUAGCUGGCACUCAUAGAGCACGAGUUUCAUCCGGUAAAGCGAAUGAUUAGAGGCAUUGGGGUCGAAACGGCCUCAACCUAUUCUCAAACUUUAAAUGGGUGAGAUCUCCGGCUUGCUCGAACGAAUGAAGCCGCGAGACUCGAAUCAGAGUGCCAAGUGGGCCAUUUUUGGUAAGCAGAACUGGCGCUGUGGGAUGAACCAAACGCUGAGUUAAAGCGCCUAAAUCGACGCUUAUGGGAUACCAUGAAAGGCGUUGGUAACUUAAGACAUCAGGACGGUGGCCAUGGAAGUCGGA
This 646-nucleotide ribosomal RNA is filed under the name Salpingus ruficollis. Its description in RNAcentral is "eukaryotic LSU rRNA". It matches the Rfam family "Eukaryotic large subunit ribosomal RNA", at positions 663 to 1265 of the family's 3401-position model. The record is from RNAcentral. Lineage: Eukaryota; Metazoa; Arthropoda; Insecta; Coleoptera; Salpingidae.